This 433-nucleotide ribosomal RNA is filed under the name uncultured bacterium. RNAcentral describes it as "partial 16S ribosomal RNA". It matches the Rfam family "Bacterial small subunit ribosomal RNA", at positions 29 to 507 of the family's 1533-position model. The record is from RNAcentral.
AACGAACGCUGGCGGCAUGCCUAACACAUGCCAGUCGAACGAGACCUUCGGGUCUAGUGGCGCACGGGUGCGUAACGCGUGGGAACCUGCCCUUAGGUUCGGGAUAACUCCCCGAAAGGGGUGCUAAUACCGGAUAAUGUCUUCGGACCAAAGAUUUAUCGCCUUUGGAUGGGCCCGCGUUGGAUUAGCUAGUUGGUAGGGUAAAAGCCUACCAAGGCGACGAUCCAUAGCUGGUCUGAGAGGAUGAUCAGCCACACUGGGACUGAGACACGGCCCAGACUCCUACGGGAGGCAGCAGUGGGGAAUAUUGGACAAUGGGCGAAAGCCUGAUCCAGCAAUGCCGCGUGAGUGAUGAAGGCCUUAGGGUUGUAAAGCUCUUUUACCCGGGAUGAUAAUGACAGUACCGGGAGAAUAAGCUCCGGCUAACUCCGUG